GGCUUUGGGAGCCCGGGGGAUCAGCCCGGGCUGAAAGGGGAAAGUCCGGUGCGAGUCCGGCGCUGUGCCGCAGCUGUGAUGGCUUGAGAGCAAGCCUCAGUCAGAAUGCCCGUCCCACAAAAGCCGCAUUC
RNAcentral lists this non-coding RNA (131 nucleotides) under Gloeobacter violaceus. The record is from RNAcentral. Lineage: Bacteria; Bacillati; Cyanobacteriota; Cyanophyceae; Gloeobacterales; Gloeobacteraceae.